UGGAGGCAGCAGUGGGGAAUUUUGCGCAAUGGGGGAAACCCUGACGCAGCAACGCCGCGUGAGUGAUGAAGGCCUUCGGGUCGUAAAGCUCUGUCAGAGGGAAAGAAAUGCAUGGUGGCUAAUAACCAUUGUGCUUGACGGUACCCUCAAAGGAAGCACCGGCUAACUCCGUGCCAGCAGCCGCGGUAAUACGGAGGGUGCGAGCGUUGUUCGGAUUUAUUGGGCGUAAAGCGCGUGUAGGCGGUUUUUUAAGUCUGAUGUGAAAGCCCCGGGCUCAACCUGGGAAGUGCAUUGGAUACUGGAAGACUUGAGUACGGGAGAGGGUAGUGGAAUUCCCAGUGUAGGAGUGAAAUCCGUAGAUAUUGGGAGGAACACCGGUGGCGAAGGCGGCUACCUGGACCGAUACUGACGCUGAGACGCGAAAGCGUGGGGAGCAAACAGGAUUAGAUACCCCGGUAGC
RNAcentral lists this ribosomal RNA (460 nucleotides) under uncultured bacterium. RNAcentral's name for it is "bacterial SSU rRNA". It matches the Rfam family "Bacterial small subunit ribosomal RNA", at positions 343 to 794 of the family's 1533-position model. The record is from RNAcentral.